CCUACGGGUGGCAGCAGUGGGGAAUAUUGGGCAAUGGGCGCAAGCCUGACCCAGCAACGCCGCGUGAAGGAAGAAGGCUUUCGGGUUGUAAACUUCUUUUCUCAGGGACGAAGCAAGUGACGGUCCCUGCUGAAUAAGCCACGGCUAACUACUGGCCAGCAGCCGCGGUAAUACGUAGGUGGCAAUCGUGAUCCGGAUUUACUUGUUGUAAAGGGCGUGUAGGCGGGGACGCAAGUCAGAGGUGAAAACCACGGGCUCAACCUAUGGCCUGCAUUUGAAACUGUGAGUCUUGAGUACUGGAGAGGCAGGCGGAAUUCGUGGUGUAGCGGUGAAAUGCGUAGAUAUCAGGAAGAACACCGGUGGCGAAGGCGGUCUGCUGGACAGAAACUGACGCUGAGGCGCGAAAGCGUGGGGAGCAAACAGGAUUAGAUACCCGAGUAGUC
This 443-nucleotide ribosomal RNA is filed under the name uncultured bacterium. RNAcentral's name for it is "partial 16S ribosomal RNA". It matches the Rfam family "Bacterial small subunit ribosomal RNA", at positions 338 to 795 of the family's 1533-position model. The record is from RNAcentral.